Molecule: unclassified non-coding RNA, 204 nt
Filed under: Hevea brasiliensis (rubber tree)
Lineage: Eukaryota; Viridiplantae; Streptophyta; Magnoliopsida; Malpighiales; Euphorbiaceae
Source: RNAcentral
CGUAGACCCAUAUUAUAUUUAGCAGUUUGGUUUAGUGGGCACUUCACACAGUUGUUGAUUUUGAUCGUGAAGAGUGUUAUUGAGAGAUGGUCGCCCCUGUUAGCACUAGUACUGCUGCUACUACUACUGGGACGCAAUCACAGACGCAUACACUCUCAGCCAGAAUGAGGAAAACGAUACAAUCAAUCAAGGAAAUCGUGGGCA